This 206-nucleotide long non-coding RNA is filed under the name Lathyrus oleraceus (garden pea). RNAcentral's name for it is "Pisum sativum (pea) long non-coding RNA (PSAT_LNC027534)". Lineage: Eukaryota; Viridiplantae; Streptophyta; Magnoliopsida; Fabales; Fabaceae. The record is from RNAcentral.
AAAAUCAUGGUGUUCAUACUGAUUGCUCAUGAAACGAAGAAUUGAAAGCACCAAUGGCUUGCCUCAAGUAUGGGGACUUCAGAAAACCACAGAAACACAAGGAUACUACAUUGAAUUAUGAGAUUCAGAUCCAAAAAGUUUGAAUGGAUACCUUCAAAUGGAUGAACUUCUGGCCAUGAAUUCUCCAAGAUCUUUGCUCCUCUUUG